This 340-nucleotide unclassified non-coding RNA is filed under the name soil metagenome. Its description in RNAcentral is "partial contains 5.8S ribosomal RNA, internal transcribed spacer 2, and large subunit ribosomal RNA". The stretch from base 1 to 120 matches the Rfam family "5.8S ribosomal RNA", at positions 35 to 154 of the family's 154-position model. The record is from RNAcentral.
GAUGAAGAACGUAGCGAAAUGCGAUAACUAAUGUGAAUUGCAGAAUUCAGUGAAUCAUCGAGUCUUUGAACGCACAUUGCGCCCCCUGGUAUUCCGGGGGGCAUGCCUGUCCGAGCGUCAUUGCUGCCCUCAAGCACGGCUUGUGUGUUGGGCUCCGUCCCCCCGGGGACGGGUCCGAAAGGCAGCGGCGGCACCGAGUCCGGUCCUCGAGCGUAUGGGGCUUUGUCACCCGCUCUGUAGGCCCGGCCGGCGCCAGCCGACAACCAAUCAUCCUUUUUUCAGGUUGACCUCGGAUCAGGUAGGGAUACCCGCUGAACUUAAGCAUAUCAAUAGCGGAGGA